This 253-nucleotide ribosomal RNA is filed under the name uncultured bacterium. RNAcentral describes it as "partial 16S ribosomal RNA". It matches the Rfam family "Bacterial small subunit ribosomal RNA", at positions 524 to 776 of the family's 1533-position model. The record is from RNAcentral.
UACGUAGGUGGCAAGCGUUGUCCGGAUUUACUGGGCGUAAAGGAUGCGUAGGCGGACAUUUAAGUCAGAUGUGAAAUACCCGAGCUUAACUUGGGUGCUGCAUUUGAAACUGGGUGUCUAGAGUGCAGGAGAGGUAAGUGGAAUUCCUAGUGUAGCGGUGAAAUGCGUAGAGAUUAGGAAGAACACCAGUGGCGAAGGCGGCUCACUGGACCGGUAUUGACGCUCAGGCGCGACAGCGUGGGGAUCAAACAGG